RNAcentral lists this ribosomal RNA (253 nucleotides) under uncultured bacterium. RNAcentral's name for it is "partial 16S ribosomal RNA". It matches the Rfam family "Bacterial small subunit ribosomal RNA", at positions 524 to 776 of the family's 1533-position model. The record is from RNAcentral.
UACGUAGGGACCAAGCGUUGUUCGGAUUUACUGGGCGUAAAGGGCGCGUAGGCGGCCCGCUAAGUCGAACGUGAAAUCCCCAGGCUCAACCUGGGAACUGCGUCCGAUACUGGCAGGCUUGAAUCCGGGAGAGGGAUGUGGAAUUCCAGGUGUAGCGGUGAAAUGCGUAGAUAUCUGGAGGAACACCGGUGGCGAAGGCGGCAUCCUGGACCGGUAUUGACGCUGAGGCGCGAAAGCUAGGGUAGCAAACGGG